This 612-nucleotide unclassified non-coding RNA is filed under the name Hevea brasiliensis (rubber tree). Lineage: Eukaryota; Viridiplantae; Streptophyta; Magnoliopsida; Malpighiales; Euphorbiaceae. The record is from RNAcentral.
CAGCAUCUGGAGAAUGAAUAUCCAGGAUCAAAUAUAUUGUUUGUAACGGUAACAGCUGAUGAGUCAAGGAGAAUAGAGCAAUUGCCUGAUGAAGCAAUUGAAGCAGAGAUAAUGGUAAUACUUAAAAAGUUGUUUGGGGAUAACAUUCCAAAACCAGAAUCCAUUCUCGUACCUAGAUGGGGCUUGGACAGGUUCUACAAGGGCAGCUAUUCUAAUUGGCCUGAUAGCUACAGUCAAAAACGCAAAGACCAAUUGGCGGAUCCUGUUGGUCCUGUAUACUUCACAGGGGAGCACACCAGCAAUAAUUAUAUAGGAUAUGCUACUGGUGCUUAUUUUGCAGGUAUCGACACUGCAAAUGAUUUAAUCGAGUGCUUCAAGAAAAAAUCUUGCAGGGGCUAUAAUAGAAACAGAUGGCAUUAAGAUGGGAAUGCUAGCCCCUGGCCAGCAUCCGAAGGUUCAAAUAUGAGAAAAGCAACUGCAAAGAGUUGCUUUCCAACCCAUAACAACAUUGAAGUCGUCUCUUGCACAAUGUCCUAUCUACUUUGUGUUUUAUUUGAUCCCAUUAUUAGUAUGUAUGAGAACUUUAUUUUCCAGUCCGAAAUUGUAUGUACC